UGCAGUCUCUGACUCACGAAGAAAAGCAGGCACAGACACUGUUCCCCUCCCAAAUUACUUAGAAUGUCCUCCAAGCAGGCACCUGGCUCCCGGAGGUGAGAUUCCUGUUCAACAAAUUACAUCUAGAAUGGAACAGCUGUGAUAGGUGAAAGGGUGAGUCUUUACAGUGCCCACAGCUUUUCCAUAAACCCCACUCAACCCUACUAUUUGGAACCAUGGACCAGAUGCAGGAUUGCCACUACAUUCCAAACACCAAGAUUCUGCCAUGUACUAAUUGUGUGAACCUGCUGGGGACUCAAGCUGGGGAGAACCAACAUAUAAAAUCCUCAGUGGGAAAAAAAAGAAAAGAAAAAUUCUGGGAACCCAGGUAUAGUAGAAAUCAUUGGAAUAAUUCUAGUAUGAGGUGGGGAAGGGUGGGUGGGGAGCAUAAAGAGGACAACUAGACUUACUAUGCUCUGGUGAGAAAGGGUUUCUGUUGUAAUAAUAUUGGUGUGAGGGAGGGAGGAAGGAUCCAUACCUAUAAUUUAUUAGUAUGAGGGACUUCCUAUUUUCCCUUGUGCAGAUUCAAGACACAUAUUAAUAUAUUUUAAUAUGUAUGUGUUGUUUCCCCCUGUAGAAUGUAAGCUUCUUGAGGACAGAAACUAUUUCACUCCUGUCUUUGUUUCUCCAGCACCUAACCCACUGUCUGCCACAUAACAGGCAUUCUGGAUUAAUUGAUUGAUGUCCACCUUAGAGUCUCAGUGAGUUGCCUGGAGCACUGAGAAGUAACUUGGCCAAAGGAACACAACUAGUAUGUGGCAGUUAUAAUUUGAAUGUGAGCCUUUCUACUAUCCUCUAUCUACUCUAUUGAUAAUGAUGAAGAUGAUGCUGAUUUGGAGAACAAUGCCAGUAAUGUCAGUAAUAAUCACUGGCACUUAUGUAGUGCUUUCAGAUUUGCAUAGCUCUUUACAUACUUUAUCUAGGGGCCAUAAAUCUCUGUGAUUCACUCUGAUCCUCAAUCUCCCUGAAUCUUUGGCAUAGUGAGUGCUUUGUCACAGAAAUUUACUGUCAUCUCAGUGGCAGUGGGUUGGAGUCAAGGCUGGAUCAUAAAGCCCAGUACUAUAUCCUCAAGCUGCUGCAUUUUGGCUCUCCAAGAAGCUGUCAAAAAUCCUUGAUUUCAGAGGGUUGUGAAAAAGAGGAGCAGGUAGGACAUUCCUCCUUUAAAAGUGGAAUUUCCCCCGUUAUGCCUUCUUCCCUUCCUUCCACAGAAGUUUAUGUCUGUGAUUUUUCUUCAUGGCUCUUUGAGUCUCAGAUACGGUGAAAGUUCAGUCCUUCAGAUGUCCCUCUUGAGAAGCCAUCAGUAGCCACCA
This 1349-nucleotide long non-coding RNA is filed under the name Phascolarctos cinereus (koala). RNAcentral's name for it is "lncRNA (ENSPCIG00000020047.2)". Lineage: Eukaryota; Metazoa; Chordata; Mammalia; Diprotodontia; Phascolarctidae. The record is from RNAcentral.